ACUGGUGUAUAACCAACCGAUAUUCUUUAGGGUCGAAAAGAUUUCGUUAAGCAAGCUGAGAAAGCCAAACCAGACGCAAGCACCGCCGAAAUCCAGCCAGCUGCCACCGAGGAACCUGAAAAUAUUUACGAGACUAUAGAGGAUGUGAAACCAGGGACCGACUUGGGAGAAGGUCAAAUGAAGAGACCUCGAAAGAGAAAUGCAGGGAACAAACAGCCCGAGAAGAUCACAGUUUCCACUUUGAAAAACCUCAACAUCUACAAGGAAGGAGGUCAAUAUGUCAUCGAGGCCUGAACCAAUCAGAAACCAUAUCUUUUGGAAAGCUGUCAGGCGCACGUAAUCAUUCAAAGGUUCAGUCACAUCACAGUAGAACUGCUGGCCGUCAAAUAGCUGCAAUGUGGACACUUAACGCAUUUUCCUCUUCGUAGAAAUGUUAUCUCGAAUAAUUAGAUUCUAGAGAGAGUCAUGACCACUAUAACAGCUUAAAUUUUUGUAGAACAAAUAGCAUUUAAACUUGUUACAUAAAUCUACUCACAGAGUAAUAACCGAGUUACCAGUCAGCGGACACCCAUUAGAACUCUAAUACUGAAACAAACGAUCCCAUCAUUUCAAGAGAAAAGACACCUUGGUGAAAUUAUAUCAAGCAAAUCUUUCCACCAUACAGUUGAAAUGGAGAAUAGUGAUUCAA
Long non-coding RNA from Stylophora pistillata, 688 nucleotides. NCBI's taxonomy places the organism in Eukaryota, Metazoa, Cnidaria, Anthozoa, Scleractinia, Pocilloporidae. The record is from RefSeq and is a predicted model, not a curated record.